This 1292-nucleotide long non-coding RNA is filed under the name Sorghum bicolor (sorghum). RNAcentral's name for it is "long non-coding RNA (SBIC_LNC017119)". Lineage: Eukaryota; Viridiplantae; Streptophyta; Magnoliopsida; Poales; Poaceae. The record is from RNAcentral.
CAUCACCACACACAUACAAGCAGCUACCUUAGGUCGUCUGUGUGCCGGCCGUGUCCGUGUCUCUACGUACGGAUUGGUGGUCGGCCGGAUCAUCACUCGUCGAGAAUGAGGUCGAGGAGAUUCCUGACGCCGCGAAGCUUGCUCCUGAGGCCAUCCGAGAGGAUGGCGACGGCCACCGUCCUGCCCAACGUCUUCGCCCAGGGCCAGCGGCCGGUCCUGCGGCCUGCAGCUCUCCAGUCCAGCUCGCGCUUCACUUCCGCGAGCUCCUUCUCCAGCUUCUCAACCCGAUCGUCGGUCUGCUUGAACUGCGCCACGACCGCCUCCAUAUCGCCGCGACCUGCUCCGCCACCAAACCGUAGUCGCUGUCGUCAAUCUGCCGCAGCGCAACCGCGACCAGGUCUCCGCGAGUUUCUGUAUGUGCAUGCAUGCGCGCGAAAUCAACUUGCAUGCAUGGUUAACUUGUGGAGAUCUAUCUAGUGCUUACCAUAUGCAUAUAUAUACUAUACACACAAAUACUAUAUAUGAUAUAACUAAGGUCUGGAGUUCGCAAAAGUUUUUGGAUUUUGUUACUGUAGCAUUUUCGUUUGUUUGUAACAAAUAUUGUCCAAUCAUAGACUAAUUAGGGUCAAAAGAUUCGUCUUAUGGUUUACAGACAAACUGUAUAAUUAGUUUUUGUUUUCGUCUAUAUUUAAUACUUCAUACAUGUACCGCAAGAUUCGAUGUGACGGAAAAUCUUGAAAAAUUUUAGGAACUAAACAAGGCCUAAACAAAAAAUCAAGCCAAGUUUUAUUUUUAUAAGACAGCACGAAUGAACCUGGUCGGCCUGUACCAGUCGUGUUGUCAUCACGGUCGUUUGAUGGAUGCAGCAGCCACCCCUGCGCUGAGAAACAGUACUCACGGUCUCCACGUUCUGGAUCUCGUAGUCCUGCCAAGAACCAAAUUAAACAAAUCCACGCCAAACUAGUUAUUACUCCUGAUGAAGCAGGUAUAUAUAUAGGUUCACGAAAUGAAACUGAUCAAGUAGGUAAUUAACAACAGCAUGCAAUAUCUAUCUGUGUAUCUAUAAGAAAAAACGAGGGCACAAUAGAUAUAUAAUUGAAUUCAAACUAAUAAAAAACAAAGGCAUGCAAAAAUUCAGAGUGGAUAGUAUCGACGACAGAUCUACGUAGGUAGCAUAGACGAGAAGGUCUGAUAUGCUCACCUCCAUGGCGGAACUUCUAGCUAGUUGUCUAACGAGGUGGUGGAAAAGAAAUUAGGCGCGCGGGCCCGGAGUUAAUUAAGGCUAGGGCCUG